CCAGCUUGCUGGAUGCUGACGAGCGGCGGACGGGUGAGUAAUGCAUAGGAAUCUGCCCGAUAGUGGGGGAUAACCUGGGGAAACCCAGGCUAAUACCGCAUACGUCCUACGGGAGAAAGGGGGCUCCGGCUCCCGCUAUGGGAUGAGCCUAUGUCGGAUUAGCUAGUUGGUGAGGUAACGGCUCACCAAGGCCACGAUCCGUAGCUGGUCUGAGAGGAUGAUCAGCCACAUCGGGACUGAGACACGGCCCGAACUCCUACGGGAGGCAGCAGUGGGGAAUAUUGGACAAUGGGGGCAACCCUGAUCCAGCCAUGCCGCGUGUGUGAAGAAGGCCCUCGGGUUGUAAAGCACUUUCAGCGAGGAAGAACGCCUAGCGGUUAAUACCCGCUAGGAAAGACAUCACUCGCAGAAGAAGCACCGGCUAACUCCGUGCCAGCAGCCGCGGUAAUACGGAGGGUGCAAGCGUUAAUCGGAAUUACUGGGCGUAAAGCGCGCGUAGGUGGCUUGAUAAGCCGGUUGUGAAAGCCCCGGGCUCAACCUGGGAACGGCAUCCGGAACUGUCAAGCUAGAGUGCAGGAGAGGAAGGUAGAAUUCCCGGUGUAGCGGUGAAAUGCGUAGAGAUCGGGAGGAAUACCAGGUGGCGAAAGGCGGCCUUCUGGACUGACACUGACACUGAGGUGCGAAAGCGUGGGUAGC
This 696-nucleotide ribosomal RNA is filed under the name Vreelandella aquamarina. RNAcentral's name for it is "bacterial SSU rRNA". It matches the Rfam family "Bacterial small subunit ribosomal RNA", at positions 75 to 769 of the family's 1533-position model. Lineage: Bacteria; Pseudomonadati; Pseudomonadota; Gammaproteobacteria; Oceanospirillales; Halomonadaceae. The record is from RNAcentral.